Molecule: unclassified non-coding RNA, 279 nt
Filed under: plant metagenome
Description: partial contains small subunit ribosomal RNA, internal transcribed spacer 1, and 5.8S ribosomal RNA
Source: RNAcentral
UUUCCGUAGGUGAACCUGCGGAAGGAUCAUUAUUGUAUAACCGAGGUGCGAGCACUCUCCCUGAACUGACAGGUCGUGCACGCACGAGUGCACUAACACACAUCCUUCUCAACCAUAUGUGCACAACCGCGUAGGUACGCCUCUGGUACGUUUGGAGGGGGGCUUACCUUUUCAUAAAAACUUUGUAUGCAGUGUAGAACGUACUCUAUGUUUCUGUGUUCAUGCAAUUAAUUCAACUUUCAACAACGGCUCUCUUAGCUCCCGUAUCGAUGACGAACG